GAUGAAGAACGUAGCGAAAUGCGAUAAGUAAUGUGAAUUGCAGAAUUCAGUGAAUCAUCGAGUCUUUGAACGCACAUUGCGCCCCCUGGUAUUCCGGGGGGCAUGCCUGUCCGAGCGUCAUUGCCGCCCUCAAGCACGGCUUGUGUGUUGGGCCCCCGCCCCCCGGCUUCGGGGGGCGGGCCCGAAAGGCAGCGGCGGCACCGCGUCCGAUCCUCGAGCGUAUGGGGCUUCGUCACCCGCUCUGUAGGCCCGGCCGGCGCCCGCCGGCGACCCCAAUCAAUCUUUCCAGGUUGACCUCGGAUCAGGUAGGGAUACCCGCUGAACUUAAGCAUAUCAAUAAGCGGAGGA
RNAcentral lists this unclassified non-coding RNA (348 nucleotides) under soil metagenome. RNAcentral describes it as "partial contains 5.8S ribosomal RNA, internal transcribed spacer 2, and large subunit ribosomal RNA". The stretch from base 1 to 120 matches the Rfam family "5.8S ribosomal RNA", at positions 35 to 154 of the family's 154-position model. The record is from RNAcentral.